Molecule: ribosomal RNA, 608 nt
Filed under: Halomonas elongata
Lineage: Bacteria; Pseudomonadati; Pseudomonadota; Gammaproteobacteria; Oceanospirillales; Halomonadaceae
Description: bacterial SSU rRNA
Rfam family: Bacterial small subunit ribosomal RNA
Source: RNAcentral
CAUGCGGCAGCUACACAUGCAGUCGAGCGGAAACGAUCCUAGCUUGCUAGGAGGCGUCGAGCGGCGGACGGGUGAGUAAUGCAUAGGAAUCUGCCCGGUAGUGGGGGAUAACUUGAGGAAACUCAAGCUAAUACCGCAUACGCCCUACGGGGGAAAGCAGGGGCUCUUCGGACCUUGCGCUAUCGGAUGAGCUUAUGUCGGAUUAGCUGGUUGGUGAGGUAACGGCUCACCAAGGCGACGAUCCGUAGCUGGUCUGAGAGGAUGAUCAGCCACAUCGGGACUGAGACACGGCCCGAACUCCUACGGGAGGCAGCAGUGGGGAAUAUUGGACAAUGGGGGCAACCCUGAUCCAGCCAUGCCGCGUGUGUGAAGAAGGCCCUCGGGUUGUAAAGCACUUUCAGCGAGGAAGAAUGCUUGUCGGUUAAUACCCGGCAAGGGAGACAUCACUCGCAGAAGAAGCACCGGCUAACUCCGUGCCAGCAGCCGCGGUAAUACGGAGGGUGCGAGCGUUAAUCGGAAUUACUGGGCGUAAAGCGUGCGUAGGCGGCUUGAUAAGCCGGUUGUGAAAGCCCCGGGCUCAACCUGGGAACGGCAUCCGGAACUGUUAG